This is a long non-coding RNA of Homo sapiens (human), 14089 nucleotides long. RefSeq lists it as uncharacterized. The transcript has 4 exons. Lineage: Eukaryota; Metazoa; Chordata; Mammalia; Primates; Hominidae. The record is from RefSeq and is a predicted model, not a curated record.
GUUUGAACCCGUGGAGAACUGCGGGGCACGGUUCUCCUCUGCUUCUCAGCCACGCCGUCCCGCCAUGCGUUCUUCACCCACAUUUGUCGGUUGCUGCCUCCCUCCCUCCAGCUGUCAGCUGUCCCUCUCUCUUCCUUCUUCUCCCUUCCUCCCUCUCCAUGUGUACGGCUUGGACCUUAACCCUCUUUUUCUCUCAAAGACCUGAAAUGUGGGGGUCCUAGAGGGCCCCUCUUCAGAGCCACACUUACAGCCAGCCAGUUGCAAAGAGGGCAGGUAGAUUCCACACCAUCUUCCACAGCCCGCUGCCUGCCACUCUCUGCAGCUCAAAUUUCAGGGGCUCCUGCAGCUGAGACAUGGACCCUACUUUACGCCAAGCAGAGGGCCGUGGGGUUCCCUCGUGUGACUGUGAGGUUUGCUGGAGACUGCGAGCCUGCCAGUGUGGCCUCUGCCCUGCCUGGUGCCCAUCCUGUCUCCGAUCCACCUGCACGCCGCAUCCUGGAUCCUCAUCUCCCGCACCCAUGGAUUUCAGCAUCCAGUGUUUCUUGGCGUUCCCUCUCACAGGCCCAGUUCCUCAUGGACGUGAGACCUUCCCACCCAGCGUCUCCCCGAACACGGCCGGUAGUGUUCAGCCUUUCACCACUCCUUCUCUGCCACUCGACUUCUUGCCAGCUGGUGUCCAGUUACAUUUUGGCAAAGGUGGUCACCGGGCAGACCUGGAGAGAGGGAAGACAUGGAAGCCCUCUCUGCCCUCUGCAGUGGCAUCGUGAGACGUGGUCUCUGAAUAACAGAAGAUCUUCUUCAGAAACCUCAAGCUCCGAUGAUGCCUUCAGACCCAUGAAGAUGGAGUGUGAAAUUCCAUGAAUAUCGAGUCUAUUUUCUGGACCCCAGAGGCUUCAAUGGAAAAUUGAAGAAUAUGAAUGAAUAUAGCAAAUUUCAGCAGAGAGAUCGAAAGGACCACAGAGGAUGAAAUGAUGAAAUGCUCAUGCAAGAGAAAAAUCUCAACAAAGGAGCUACAGAAUGCUUUCCCCAGACUGUCUGUCUGACACCAGAUUUGACAACACUUUGUAAAUAACCAGGAGCCACAGUAGAAAUAUUCUAGGGAAUGGGAAUCACUGUCUCCUGAGGUAACAAAGAAAUAUAGAAAGCCAACAAAAUGUUUAGAAUUAUAAUCAUGAUAAUAAUGAUAGCUAGCAUUUAUUGAGUACUUGCUGUGUUCCAGCCAGGCUUGGUACUAACCUCUGUAUAUUUAGUAACUCAUCCAUUGGCUCUAUGUGACAUGUCCUACAAUCAGUCCAAGAGUAGGAAACUGACGGUGACAGAGAUGAAAAGACUUUUUUUUUUUUUUUUGAGAUGGAUUCUUUGUCACCCAGGCUGGGGUACAGUGGCAUGAUCUUGGCUCACUGCAACCUCUGCUUCCCGGGUUCAAGCAAUUCUUCUGCCUCAGCCUCCCCAGUAGCUGGGCUUAUAAGCACUUGCCACCAUGCCUGGCUAAUUUCUGUAUUUUUAGUACAGAGGAGAUUUCACCAUGGUGGCCAGGCUGGUCUCGAACUCCUGACCUCAGGUGAUCUGCCUGGCUCAGCCUCCCAAAGUGCUGGGAUUAUAGGUGUGAGCCUCCAGGCCUGAUGGAAAGAUUUUAUCAAGGCCACACAUCCGGUGAAAGGAGAGCCAGGGCUCCACCCCUGCUGCCUGACUCCAGGCUCUGCCCAGCUACCCAGGAAGUGAUAACCUCUCCUAGGGAAAUGCAAGUUGACUUAAAGAGCCAUCCAGGGAGGCUGAGGUGGAAGAGCACAAACAGCACGGUGGAGCUACAGUAGGUGCAGACUCGCAGGACCCACAGUGGGGCUGAAACAGAAGAGAAGAGAGACAACGUGUCCUCCACUAUUGACAAUGGUAAGGAACGCCUCAAGGUGACAUGUCUUUCUAUGACAGCCUUCCUUGAAAGAAGAAAUUCCUGUCUAGAAAACGUAAUAAAAAGAGGAUUAAAGGUAAGUUGAGGGAAAUGUUGCAUUUUGAUAUUUACCAAUAAACAAGCUUUCAUGGGGCUGACACAGCAACAAGGCUCAGGAUUAUACACGCAGGCAGUUUAUGAGUGCCUCUUCCCAUUCAGAAUCCUCAAAAGUGUGUAAUUCAAAUUCAGUGACUUAACGGAUGGUGAAUAAAUAUAGACCUGGAACUCAGCGCCCAGUGGAAGCCUGCUAAGAACUGGAGAGAUGCAAAUGAAAUUGUUUUGCUUUUCAUCACCCGUUGUGACUUCUUUUUUUGUUUGUUUGUUUGUUUUAGACAGAGUCUCACUCUGUCACCCAGGCUGGAGUACAGUGGCCUGAUCUUGGCUCACUGCAACCUCCACCUCCCGGGCUCAAGCGAUUCUCCGGCCUCAGCCUCCUGAGUAGCUGGGAUUUACAGGCAUGUGCCACUGCGCCCGGCUAAUUUUUGUAUUUUUAGUAGAGACAGGGUUUCAUCAUGUUUCCCAGGCUGGUCUUGAACUCCUGACCUCAGGUGAUCCAUCCACCUCAACCUCCCAAAGUGCUGGGAUUACAGGCGUGAGCCACCGUGCCCGGCCUCCUGUUGUGACUUCUGACAUAUGGUAUCCUACACCUGACAUGCUUGGCGAGGAUUACUUCCUGAGGAAAACAGGUCUUCCAUUUGGGUGUGAGCCCGGGGACACUUCAGGACCCUGUGACCCCUCAGCCUCCCAAGAGAGGAACUGAGCUUGGGGGCUGGGGGUGUCAGCAAAAACAAACAUGCUGUUCUCGUGGGAAGCUUUGGUGGACCAAGCACAAUCAUCAGACCCAUCUCCAGAACCAUCCUUGAGGCUCAUGUCUUCUUGCUGCUUUUCCACUGGAAUUCAAACUUUUAAAGCACAGGAAUAAAUUGUGGACAGAGAAUUCCUUUUUUAUAAGUACUGAGAGCAUAACAAGGCACAUCUUCCGGAGAUGUAACAGUGCGUAGCCGCAGCAGCUCUAUGGGCAGAGAGCCCUCAGACCCUGCAGCAAAGGACACUGUGCUCUGCCUGGAUUCCUCAGCACCUGGGUGAGCUGCCCGCCCUUGGUCUCCCCCCAUAGUGGGCCUUACACCAGUGCCCAUCCCUCUCCAGGCACAGACCUUGUGGGAGGGACGCCCGGACAUCCCAGCUAGCAUCGGUGUCGGGGACAGUCCUGGUGGUCCUCAGUGAGGAGCCCAGAGGGGCAGAAGGUCAUGAGAGAGAAAGAGAAGAGCAGCAGGAUGGGGUGGCGGAUAUGGGGUGCUGGGGACCGGGUGAAUUCUCAGAUCAUCCACUGACACAGCCAUGCAUCACAGGGCCAUGGAUGCCUCCGUCCAUGCUGCCAUUUCCACUGGCCUUUCCCACAGGGGAGCCCGGGGGCCCGUGUGACCGUGAGAGGGGGUUGUGUCUGGUGGGUUGAGCUCAGAGCACGCUGGGGAAGCUGCACCCUCGUCUUCUUUCACCUGCAGCCAGGACAUUUUCUGAGGCCUCUGAGGCUGCUGGCCAGGCCAGGGAGGUUUCUGCAGAGCAGGGCAGAGAGCGCCUGGCUCCGGUGAGAAAGGGGCUGUCAGGCCAGGCGCAGUGGCUUACACCUGUAAUCCCAGCACUUUGGGAAGCCAAGACAGGUGGAUCACCUGAGGUUGGGAGUUCCCGACCAGCCUGACCAACAUGGAGAAACCCCCAUCUCUACUAAAAAUACAAAAUUAGCCGGGUGUGGUGGUGUAUGCCUAUAAUCCCAGCUACUCUGGAGGCUGAGGGAGAAGAAUCGCUUGAACCUGGGAGGCAAAAGUUGCAGUGAGUCGAGAUCACGCCAUUGCACCCCAGCCUAGGCAACAAGAGUGAAAGUCCAUCUCAAAAAAAAAAAAAAAAAAGAAAACACAAAAAGAAAGGAGCUGUCAGGCAGGUGGCCAGGCCAGGGAGGUUUCUGCAGAGCAGGGCAGAGAGCCCCUGGCUCGGGUGAGAAAGGGGCUGUCAGGCAGGUGGCCAGGCCAGGGAGGUUUCUGCAGAGCAGGGCAGAGAGCCCCUGGCUCGGGUGAGAAAGGGGCUGUCAGGCAGGUGGCCAGCAGCCCUGAGCCUGGAGAUGGGGAUUCAGGAGCCCACCUGCUGCUCGGCUCAGAGCUGAGAGGAGAAACAGCCCAGAGGAACAGCGGCCUCCCCCAUCCCAGCUCACGCAGAAAUGCAUUGGAAUGUCAGGAAAUUGUGUGUAUUUGAUGUAUUUUACCUGUUGCCUAGAGAGCCCACACAGUGACGCAGGUGCCUGUUUACAUUGGCUGAUUGCCCGGACUUUGGAAAUGCAAUUAUCCCCCACCACCCCCUCAGCCACUUUCUCCAGCGGACUAGGAGGGGCUGAGUGGUGCAGCCUCUGUGAAAUGCUUGGCCCAGGAGAAAGCAAUUCCAACGGGGCUGUGACAGCUGAGGGGGAAGGUGUGGCUGCGCAGAGCCCAUCAGGGCUUGUUACUGGAAGGAGAGGGAACAAAUGCCAGGCAGGCAAAAUGACCCAGGACCGGCGACCACAGGCCCCUGUGGCUUCAGCAAAUGCAGCUGCUUCCAUUUGGCUGCAGACAGAAGCUGGAUGCACGUCUGUGACCAGAAAUGGACCUGCCCCUUGGUGUCCAUGACAACAGCCCCUCAAAAGCAGUUCUGAACUAAUCCUACCUGGCCCAGGUGUGGCUGCGGUGAGACGUGCAUGGCAUGCGGGUGCCCCACGCUGGGACAAUCCCUUUGUUGAAUCACAGAAGAUGAAUUAAGACAACAUGCUUGGAGGUGCCCUGGGGACACAGAGGAAUUAAGGAUGAAAAUCGCCAAAGCCAGGCUGGAGAAAUUAAUUUCAGUUGUGAGCACACGGUCCAGGAGGACUUAUUAAAGCUGAAUGGAAAUUAAAUCCUGACAUUCCAGGAGGGCACUAAAGCACCUAAUGAGAAAGAGGGGACACACACAGCCAGGCAGCACUAACAUGAGCUGCAGGUAACCAGGUGCAGGGCGGUGUGGCCUGGGUCCUAGACCGGUGGACAGCCAUGCCGGACAACUUCUCCUGGCUGACUAAAGUCCCAGCCAUGCCCAAUCUGUACCACCUGUCCUGACUCACGUCUCACCGCUUAACAAACCACCCAAAAAAUGCUGUCACUUCAAACAAAAUCAGUAAUCCAUCAUUUCUCACAAUUCUGUGGUCAGGAUCUUGGGCAGGGCCCAGCUGGGUGGCUCUUCUGCUGUGGCGUUGCCUGGGUUCACUUCCUCAGUUGCAUCCUGCUGGUGGCUCGGCUGAGCUGGAAGAUUCUGGAAGGAUUUUACAUGCCUGCCAACAUUGUUUUCAGGAUGAUUAAAAAUAGCCUGUCUAAUCCAUCAUCAAGGCCUCAACAGUUACCAUGGAGACCACUUUAUUACCAAGAGGAGAAUUCAGGGGAAGCAUCUGUCAAAUGAGCGAAGGCUGUCAGGCGUUGACUUCUCCUCCAUCUGAGAGAUGGCUCUGAUCCUCAGGGCUGGGCUGUCUUUUCAUGAAGUGGGAGCGGCCACACCUUGGUGAUGGAUCAGGAUCACCCUGCGCCUGAACCUGAGGCUUUAAUUAAACUUCUCAAAUCUCCACCCUGUGCCACCCUCUGCCCUUCACUCUCCUUGGGCUCAGCUGGAAGGAAGCAAGAUUUGAGACACUGAAAAAUACAGUGUUUGAUUUGCUAAUUCCCAAGAAAAGGGAGUUGAGAGAAAUUUAUGUUCAGGGCUUUAGGAAGCCUGGGUGUUGGCUCCGUCCUAAUGCCUGAAACUCACUGCACCCCUGAGGGAGCAGCAGGUUUCCUCCUGCGAAUGACUGCGAUCUCUCAACUAAACUCCACCCAGGAAACCUGUGUUCACGUGAGGCAGGCGAGAGAAUAAUGGCUCAGAGACCCAGCAGAAGCCCCUGCUGACCUUGGGGUGUCCUCUAGCACCUGACAGAGGACACACCUGGAGGACCACGUGGCACUGCCGGCCCAGACUUAAAACAUGGAAUUAAUCCCCAAUAGGUAAAAAGUGGGAGAUUUCCAUGAAUUCACCAGUUCACACAUCAUUUAUUGCACCCUAGCUGAGCUGGGCACUGCUGUGGGUGCUGGGGAUAGACGCUCGGGGAACAGAGACCCUGCCUGCGUGCAGACCCCCUUCGUGGGCCCACGUGCAAGCCGGAUCCCUGAACGGAUCCAACAGCCUGGGCAGCUGGCACGGGGCUCUCCUUGCUGCAGCAUCUGUGGGUGAAGCCGCUGCUCCCUUUCCUGUGGGGACUCUCCGCGCCACAGUCCCCACCACGCCCUAUCACUGCCACGCUGGGGCUGAUGCCACUUACUGUUUGUCACCACAUUGGGUGACGCUUCCUCAGAAUGGACCAACAGGGAAAGGGAAGAGCUUUUGUUUUGUUUUGUUUUGUUUUUAAUGCUUACCAAAAAUAGGAAAACAGAAGACAGACCAUGGGGACUGAGUGUUUCCAGAACCCCUGGACGAACAUUUCCAUACGGUUGUGGAAAAUUCGCGGUUGAAAGUCCAAACUCCAAGAGCGGGUUGGCCUGGGCUCUCCCUCAGCCUCAUCCUGGCUGGAGGAUCAAGCAGCUUCCUGUGUCUCGGACCCUCAGGUUCCUCGUCUGUGAAGUGGGGAUGAGAACAGCACCUGCCACUUCUGGCUCUUUUUUAAAACCAAUUUUAAUAGAGAUGGGGCCUCACUAUGUUGCCCAGGCUGGUCUCAAACUCCUGGGCUCAAGCAAUCCACCCAUCUCGGCCUCCCAAAGUGCUGGGAUUACAGGGGUGAGCCACCGCAUCCGGCCCCUUUUCUGGCUCUUACGAGGGUUGAGUGAGCCUGUACACCUGAAGAAUAUAGAUUGUUAAGUUUCUGCCUCAUCAUUAUCAUUUUAACAUGCAAAUAAAAUCCCAUCCUGGCCCCCGGUGGUGUUUGAUUUUUCAACCCCUGUGAGUGGGCAUCAGACUCAGAGCUUUGGGCAGACGAGGCCUUAGCUAGUUGUGAAUAACAUCAUUUUGUCUUCAUUUCACGUUCAAGCCACCUUCUGCUUAUGGUAAGUGAGAAUGAUUUUCUGCUUAUGGUGGUGAAAUAUGUUUCCUCUUUAGAGGAAUUUAGUGAAGUGAAAGUGAGAUGAUUUAAAGAAAAACGUGGAAUAAGUAAUGUGUAUGGAACAUGGAAGGUGGGAAGUGAAGACUGGAGUUUGAGGAGCCAAGAACGAGUCCAAUUUCCUCAUUUUAUGAGUGAGGAAACUGAGGCCUGGAGAAGGGACAGGACUCACCCAGGGCCACAGAGUGAGGCUAAGGCAGAGGCAAGACCGGAAUCCAGGUUGCUGUCCCCAGACUCAAAGUGUGUGGCUGGUCACUGCUGAUGGCUCACCCACCAGGGACAGGAGGAGGAGGAGGUGAGGAGGAGGAGGAGGGGAGGAGGAGGAGGAAGAGCAAGAGGAAGAGGAGGAGGGGAGGAAGAGGGGAGGAUGAGGAGAAGAGGAGGAAGAGGAGGAGGAGAAGGAGGAAGAGGAAGAGGAGGAAGAAGAGCAACAGGAAGAGGAGGCGGAGGGGAGGAGGAGGAGGGGAGGAGGAGGAGCCGUGUGACAUCUGUGGGUAAUGAGGCCCCGGCAUGGCCUCGUCCUCUGGGGAAAGCCCGUGGGAUCCUCUCGGGGCCCAUUCACCUCUGCUGGGCCCAUGAAGAGGGGUCUGCACGUGGGCUGGGUCUUUGUUUCCCGAGUGGCUGUCACACAACAAUGGCAGGUUUUAGUAGCUGCAUCAGAGCCUGUGUGCCCUGAAAAGAUGUUUGCAGGCCUCACGGGCUCUGGGUCUUGACGGAAGAUGUUUGCUGGCCCAGCUCUUCCCUGUGGGGCCCUGGCGUCACCUGUGUCCUUGCUCCCCCAUCCUGAACGGUGGCCGCUGGGCAAAGGCCACACCAGAGCCGGCUUUUCCCCAUCGCAGAUCAGCUGACGGGGCUUCUGUGGGCCUACUCCUGGCUCCCUGUUUCAUCCCAGUGGUCUGUCUGUCUGUUCUUGCACUGAUACCACUCUGUCGCGAUUACUGUCGUUUUAAGAUAAGGCUUGAAGUUAGGUAUGUGGGUUCUCCAACUCUGUUCUUCCUCACGGUGUUGGCUGUUCGAGGACUUUCGCCUUUCCAUAGAACGUCAGACUCAGUUGACAUAAUCUGCAGAAUGCCUUCCUGGGCUUGGCUGGGAUUGCAGUGAGUCACCUCUUGGUUUUAAUAUCCAAAAUUCAUAGAAUGUGCAGAUGUCUCCUUGAAAAAAUGGCUGAUUACAUAAGAAUGAAUCCAACUCCCAUUAACAAAUCUUAAUAUACGUGUAAAAAAACAAUAUCCAGGAACAAAUCAAGUGACUUCCGAAUAUGCCUGUGGUGAUCACGUAGACCUGUGUUGAAAAGUGCACCAGAUGCCAGCAGGGGCUGAGGGUCGCUCACCCGCACUGACGCGAGCUGCUGGGCAGGGGGCUCCAUCCGCGCACAGGUGGCGGUCAGCUGACAACCCUGUUGAUCAUGUAUUUGCCCAUCAAGAAGGGACCCUGUCAGUAUUGUGCACCCUGACAUGAUAGCUGGAUCUUCAUAUGUAAGCAUUUUCCUGUGCUUUAACUGUUUUAGGGGAUUGAGCAGAAAUUUUAGGACGAAGUGUUGUAAUUUUUUCCAUUUGAAAUAAUGAAAAAUGUGUCCUUGGGUGGUGGUUUCAUGCACCGAUUCUGACUUUUUGCAACAGGAUCCUGGUGAUGAGAGAAAGCUCCCUGUCCUCUUACUGGUUCUGAUGGGUCAGACAUGGACUCCGGGAAUGGAGGGGCAGGGUUAGUUCCUCCUAAACCACGGGAACUGCAGUGUCAGCGGAUCUGACUGAUUACCCAAAAGAACACGGGGGUUCGUUUAGCAAGAGGAUGGGAAAUGGAUACUGAAAAGCAAAAUAACAGAUUUUAGAAAAAAGUUGUCUAUCCAAGAGCUAAAUAUGUGACACAUCAAUGUGUUCAAUGUCCUUACAUAUUAUACAUAAGACAUCUGUGUACAGAUAGGAAGGCAGGACAGGUCUGAGCACCUCCCGCCACCUCUCCCCUCCCGGCUCAGGAGAGCUGCUGAUGGCUGCAGCCAGCCCGGCCCCCCGCCCUCACCUGCCCCUCAGUGAUAAGAGGCCCCAGGCUUCCUCCCCCUCCAACUGUUUCCUGUCCUCUGGCUGCCUCUUCCCGGCCCAUAAACAUGCCCGGGGCACAUCAAUGUUGAAAAGGGCCAUUUCUCUGCUGUCCUCAUCCCUGAGCUACAGGAUACACCUUGUUUCCCACCCACAGAGAAUCUUCUAGGGAAAUUAGUGCACAGGAUAAGCUUUCAAAAGAUUAUCGGGAGUGUUUUCAGCCCAGUGUUUCCUGUGACCGUGUGGCCCGCCCCUCCAGAGUGAUCUGUGUCCUGGGGCUCAGGGCAGACACGGGUCCUCCCUGCCCACAGUCCCCGCCUCCUCCUGAUGGAGCAGGCCCAUCUGCUGGGAGCACUACCCACGGGGGGGCAUACUUAGAGUAACAAUCAUUCCUGUUUAUCUGAAAUUCAAAUCUGCCUGGAAAUUUAUUUGCUGGAGGGAUCAGCUGUGUUUCCAGGGGCACUUUGCUCCCUUGGUGCCUGUGAGGGGGUUUCUCCUUCCAGAAGAAGUCUCUGUAACCAGCGCUCCCACUUUCCAGGGUCUCCUCACAGCUCAGGGUCUGGGUGGUCCCUGUGGCCUGCAGGGCGGGCUGUUCUCUGUCCCUCCAGCAGGGACAGCGGCUGCAGGUGGGUCUGCAGGGAGGCCGGGUCCCACCAGGUGGAGGCCAGAGCUGGGUCAUUCAGUUCUCUCUGCUCUUGUCCUGACACCCUGAUGUCAGCUCGGGAAAGAGGGGCCCCUUUGCCUUGGCCACUCCUUGGGGCACAGGCCUCCCUCCCCACCCCACCCCAGCAGUGGAGGCCAGAGCUGCAGGGACACCUGCUUCCCUCACAGGCUGGCCUCACAGCCUAGCCCUGAGAAUGUUGAUUUGCCUUGUUGGCUGAAAGUGUGUCCAGAAUUUGUGGGUUCUUGGUCUCACUGACUUCAAGAAUGAAGCCAUGGACCCUCACAGUGAGUGUUACAGCUCUUAAGGUGGCGUGUCUGGAGUCUGUCCCUUCUGAUGUUCGGAUGUGUUCGGAGUUUCUUCCUUCUGGUGGGUUCGUGGUCUCACUGGCUCAGGAGUGAAGCUGCAGACCUUCGCGGUGAGUGUUACAGCUCUUAAGGCAGUGCGUCUGGAGUUGUUCAUUCUUCCCAGUGGGCUCGUGGUCUCGCUGGCUCAGGAGUGAAGCUGCAGACCUUCGUGGUGAGUGUUACAGCUCAUAAAAGCAGCGUGGACCCACAGAGUGAGCAGCAGCAAGAUUUAUUGCAAAGAGCGAAAAAACAAAGCUUCCACAGUGUGGAAGGGGACCCGAGAGGGUUGCCACUGCUGGCUCGGGCAGCCUGCUUUUAUUCCCUUAUCUGGCCCCACCCUGCUUUUAUUCUCUUAUCUACCAUCCUGCUGAUUGGUAGAGCCGAGUGGCCUGUUUUAACAGGGCGCUGAUUGGUGCAUUUACAAUCCCUGAGCUAGACAUAAAGGUUCUCCACAUCCCCACUAGAUUAACUAGAUACAGAGUGUUGACAGAAAGAUUCUCCAAGGCCCCCACCAGAGUAGCUAGAUGCAGUGUCGAUUGGUGUAUUUACAAUCCCUGAGCUAGACACAGGGGGCUGAUUGGUGUGUUUACAAACCUUGAGCUAGAUACAGAGUGCCGAUUGGCAUAUUUACAAUCCCUGAGCUAGACAUAAAGGUUCUCCACGUCCUCACCAGAGUAGCUAGAUACAGAGUGCUGACUGGCAUAUUUACAAUCCCUGAGCUAGACAUAAAGGUUCUCCAAGGCCCCACCAGAGCAGCUAGAUACAGUGUGGAUUGGUGCACUCACAAACCCUGAGCUAGACACAGGGGGCUGAUUGGUGUGUUUACAAACCUUGAGCUAGAUACAGAGUGCCAAUUGGUGUAUUUACAAUCCCUGAGCUAGACAUAAAGGUUCUCCAAUGCCCCACCAGACUCCGGAGCCCAGCUGGCUUCACCCAGUGGAUCCCGCACCGGGGCUGCAGGUGGAGCUGCCUGCCAGUCCCGCGCCAUGCGCUCGCACUCCUCAGCCCUUGGGUGGUCGAUGGGACUGGGCGCCGUGGAGCAGGGGGUGGUGCUCGUCGGGGAGGCUCGGGCCGCACAGGAGCCCAUGGAGGGGGUGGGAGGCUCAGGCAUGGCGGGCUGCAGGUCCCGAGCCCUGCCCCGAGGGGAGGCAGCUAAGGCCCGGCGAGAAAUCGAGCGCAGCGCUGGUGGGCUGGCACUGCUGGGGGACCCAGUACACCCUCCGCAGCCACUGGCCCGGGUGCUAAGUCCCUCAUUGCCCGGGGCCAGCAGGGCCGGCCGGCUGCUCCGAGUGCGGGGCCCACCAAGUCCACCCUCACCCGGAACUCCAGCUGGCCCGCAAGCGCCACACGCAGCACCGGUUCCCACUCCCGCCUCUCCCCCCACACCUCCCUGCAAGCUGAGGGAGUGGGCUCCGGCCUUGGCCAGCCCAGAAAGGGGCUCCCACAGUGCAGCGGUGGGCUGAAGGACUCCUCAAGUGCUGCCAAAGUGGGAGCCCAGGCAGAGGAGGCGUGGAGAGCGAGCAAGGGCUGUGAGGACUGCCAGCAUGCUGUCACCCCUCAAAAGUGCAGAAUGGCCUGGUGUAUUAGUCUGUUUUCAUACUGCUAAUAAAGUCAUACCUGAGGCUGGGAAGAAAAGGAGGUUUAAUUUGACUUUCAGUCCACAUGACUGGGGAGGUCUCACAAUCAUGGCGGAGGGCGAAAGCCACUUCUUCCACAGUGGCGGCAAGAGAGAAUCAGGAAGAAACAAAAGCAGAAACCCCUGAUAAACCCAUCAGAUCUCAUGAGACUUAUUCACUAUCAUGAGAAUAGCACAGGAAAGACUGGCCCCCAUGAUUCAAUUACCUCCACGGAGUCCCUCUCACAACAUGUGGGAAUUCUGCGAGAUACGGUUUAAGUUGAGAUUUGGGUGGGGACACAGACAAACCAUAUCACCUGGGUUUGAUCUUGGCACUGAGGGUCUCUGUGAGCUUGAACUCCUCUCCCCAGGAGGGGAUGGGCAUGGCUGGUGCAUUUUACGGCCAUGGCAGGCUGAUGGAACCAAUUUAACAGCUGGCUCAUAAAAACCCUCAGAUGUGAGAGUCGGCUCCCACAGGCUGCUGUGGGACAGAUACAGCUCCCUGAUAACCUUCUAGGACCUGCCUGAGCUGGGGGGAGGAGAGGAAUCCCGACCCCAGGGGCCUGGACACCAGGGGGACUCCACUCAGAUCCUCUGGCCCUGAGCAUUCCCAGGACCCCCUCUUGGGCUUCUGUGUUCUUCUCUCUCCAGGGCUGGCUCCUGACACUCCUCUUUGGACAACUGUCCUUAGGCCACUGAGCCCAACCGGCCCCACUGCAGUGAGCUGGAGUGGCCUGGGGGCCAGCCAUGCUGAAGCUGCCUCCUCCCAGCUUGUGGGAUAUGAUUUUGGUGUUUACAGUUUUCAGGAAUUAUAUAAACCAGGUAUGACACAGGCUGAACGUCAGUCAUAGUGAAAUUAUUCACAUCCCAGGAAGCUGGCAGGGGCUGUGCUGCUGCUGCCCCUGGGAGCGAGUUGUUCCACACUCAGCAGCUCGCUGGCUCUCAUCCUCCCCACCUAGCGAGGCCUUGACCAGUGACAGGGGUGUGGGAGCCUCCAACAGGGUGGCUGAGGCUGGGUUCACGCUCCAGGGCGCCCCUGCAGGACCACAAGGAAGCCAUUGCAGUCAGGAGACCUGGUGCUCACAGCUUUGCUUGCCCUGACCCCAUCCCUGUCCCGGCUCCCUCCCGGCCCUCCCUUCAUGCACCACCUGUUCCUGAGUCCUCAUCCCAGGAUCUGCUUCUGGGGACCAGGCCUGAUAGGCUCCAAAGCUCUGCUCUUAACCAGCACCGCAGCUGGAGGAAAAGCAGGAGGCAUUUGGCUGUUGAUGAUCAUGACAUUUUCAUUAUACUGUGUGGUUUGGGUUUAUUUUACCCAAGGAGCACAGUCCACAGAAAAUAGAACAUUUCAGGAAUACCAACCAAGCUAAGUAACAUGUUCACAUGAUAUUUAUUAAAACUGUGAUGAAACCGGCUCCACAAACCAUUGAUAGAAGAUGGGCUGUGUAAAACCGGUACUGGGAAAACGGGUUGUCUGUGUGGAGGAAAGUAAGACUGAAUCGCUAACCAAUACUGCAAACAAAGAUGGAGUCUAGAUGGAUUAAAAACCUGAAUAUGAAAAGAGAGAAAAUACGAAAACAUAUAGAGUCUUUGGGAACUUGUGCCUGGGAACAAUUUUUUAAACACAUUUGGAAAGCAUAAACCAUAGAAAAAUGAUUAGUUUUGUCACAUCAAAACAAAGGAUGCCUGCUUAAUGAAGAAGACCAUGAACAAAAUCAUUAGACGACUGGCAAAAUGGGAAAAGAGAUUUGCAAAGUUUAAAACUGGAACGUGAUCAGUGUGUCAAAUAUACAAUGUAACUUUGUAAAUCAACAAGGAAACAAGGAGAAAUCCCAAAGAAUGGACAGAGCGAUGUGAGCAGGCAACACCCAGGAGAGGAAAUCCCAACAGGCCAAGAUGCCACACCCAGGCUGUCUCCUGUCACUCCUGGCGGUGAUUAGGAAGCUGGCGGCUCCCAGCCUGGGCAGGGACGCAGGGAUGUCCUGCAGGUGGGGGUGGACGGAGGGCCCUGGACCCAGCGGUCCCACCUCAAGUAGACACCCAGGGAGGUGCUGACCCAGGCCCACAGAUGACCUCUGAGGCCCACAGAUGACCUCUGAGCCUGUCUGUGGGGGCCGGGAGGGGCACAGGACCUGGGUGGGUGUCCCUGGGAGAACAGAGAGGAAAAUGGGGUGGGCGCACACGGAGAACCAUGCAGCAAUGAGACAGCAUGAGCUGGUGCACACGGAGCGAUAUGAGAGCAUCUUUAAAACAUGAUUAUUUGUAAAAGUUUACAAAUACACAGAAUGAAAUUAAUCACAUGAGACCAUUGACGUUCAUGCCCGGAAACAGCAACGGGCACUCUCCAAGAACACGUCCCAAUAAAAAGAUCGUCAUUA